RNAcentral lists this ribosomal RNA (497 nucleotides) under uncultured bacterium. RNAcentral describes it as "partial 16S ribosomal RNA". It matches the Rfam family "Bacterial small subunit ribosomal RNA", at positions 28 to 507 of the family's 1533-position model. The record is from RNAcentral.
GAUGAACGCUGGCGGCGUGCCUAAUACAUGCAAGUCGAGCGAACGGACUAGAAGCUUGCUUCUCUGAUGUUAGCGGCGGACGGGUGAGUAACACGUGGAUAACCUACCUAUAAGACUGGGAUAACUUCGGGAAACCGGAGCUAAUACCGGAUGAUAUUUUGAACCGCAUGGUUCAAAAGUGAAAGACGGUCUUGCUGUCACUUAUAGAUGGAUCCGCGCUGCAUUAGCUAGUUGGUAAGGUAACGGCUUACCAAGGCAACGAUGCAUAGCCGACCUGAGAGGGUGAUCGGCCACACUGGAACUGAGACACGGUCCAGACUCCUACGGGAGGCAGCAGUAGGGAAUCUUCCGCAAUGGGCGAAAGCCUGACGGAGCAACGCCGCGUGAGUGAUGAAGGUCUUCGGAUCGUAAAACUCUGUUAUUAGGGAAGAACAUGUGUGUAAGUAACUGUGCACAUCUUGACGGUACCUAAUCAGAAAGCCACGGCUAACUACGUG